CCUCGAAAUUUAAAGAGCGAUUUAGUCCCGCUGGUACUACAUGGAAGCGGGUAGACCCAGAUAUGAAGCAAUUUUAUUACGAUGAGUUUUUGAAAAGAUAUACUUGGGAGACAGAGCACGAGGCAGAAUUUUAUGCUACCUGGAACGCAGCUUGUGCCAAACUAUACAAAGACAUGCUAUAUAAA
Zingiber officinale is the source of this 185-nucleotide long non-coding RNA. RefSeq lists it as uncharacterized. The transcript is spliced from 2 exons. NCBI's taxonomy places the organism in Eukaryota, Viridiplantae, Streptophyta, Magnoliopsida, Zingiberales, Zingiberaceae. The record is from RefSeq and is a predicted model, not a curated record.